This 2901-nucleotide ribosomal RNA is filed under the name Klebsiella pneumoniae. RNAcentral describes it as "23S ribosomal RNA". It matches the Rfam family "Bacterial large subunit ribosomal RNA". The record is from RNAcentral. Lineage: Bacteria; Pseudomonadati; Pseudomonadota; Gammaproteobacteria; Enterobacterales; Enterobacteriaceae.
UUAAGCGACUAAGCGUACACGGUGGAUGCCCUGGCAGUCAGAGGCGAUGAAGGACGUGCUAAUCUGCGAAAAGCGUCGGUAAGGUGAUAUGAACCGUUACAGCCGGCGAUGUCCGAAUGGGGAAACCCAGUGUGAUUCGUCACACUAUCGUUAACUGAAUACAUAGGUUAACGAGGCGAACCGGGGGAACUGAAACAUCUAAGUACCCCGAGGAAAAGAAAUCAACCGAGAUUCCCCCAGUAGCGGCGAGCGAACGGGGAGCAGCCCAGAGUCUGAAUCAGCUUGUGUGUUAGUGGAACGGUCUGGAAAGUCCGACGGUACAGGGUGAUAGUCCCGUACACCAAAAUGCACAGGCUGUGAACUCGAAGAGUAGGGCGGGACACGUGGUAUCCUGUCUGAAUAUGGGGGGACCAUCCUCCAAGGCUAAAUACUCCUGACUGACCGAUAGUGAACCAGUACCGUGAGGGAAAGGCGAAAAGAACCCCGGCGAGGGGAGUGAAAAAGAACCUGAAACCGUGUACGUACAAGCAGUGGGAGCACCUUCGGGUGUGACUGCGUACCUUUUGUAUAAUGGGUCAGCGACUUAUAUUCUGUAGCAAGGUUAACCGUAUAGGGGAGCCGCAGGGAAACCGAGUCUUAACUGGGCGUUAAGUUGCAGGGUAUAGACCCGAAACCCGGUGAUCUAGCCAUGGGCAGGUUGAAGGUUGGGUAACACUAACUGGAGGACCGAACCGACUAAUGUUGAAAAAUUAGCGGAUGACUUGUGGCUGGGGGUGAAAGGCCAAUCAAACCGGGAGAUAGCUGGUUCUCCCCGAAAGCUAUUUAGGUAGCGCCUCGUGAACUCAUCUUCGGGGGUAGAGCACUGUUUCGGCUAGGGGGUCAUCCCGACUUACCAACCCGAUGCAAACUACGAAUACCGAAGAAUGUUAUCACGGGAGACACACGGCGGGUGCUAACGUCCGUCGUGAAGAGGGAAACAACCCAGACCGCCAGCUAAGGUCCCAAAGUCAUGGUUAAGUGGGAAACGAUGUGGGAAGGCACAGACAGCCAGGAUGUUGGCUUAGAAGCAGCCAUCAUUUAAAGAAAGCGUAAUAGCUCACUGGUCGAGUCGGCCUGCGCGGAAGAUGUAACGGGGCUAAACCAUGCACCGAAGCUGCGGCAGCGACACUAUGUGUUGUUGGGUAGGGGAGCGUUCUGUAAGCCUGCGAAGGUGUGCUGUGAGGCAUGCUGGAGGUAUCAGAAGUGCGAAUGCUGACAUAAGUAACGAUAAAGCGGGUGAAAAGCCCGCUCGCCGGAAGACCAAGGGUUCCUGUCCAACGUUAAUCGGGGGCAGGGUGAGUCGACCCCUAAGGCGAGGCCGAAAGGCGUAGUCGAUGGGAAACAGGUUAAUAUUCCUGUACUUGGUGUUACUGCGAAGGGGGGACGGAGAAGGCUAUGUUAGCCGGGCGACGGUUGUCCCGGUUUAAGCAUGUAGGCUGAUUGUCCAGGCAAAUCCGGAUAAUCAAGGCUGAGGUGUGAUGACGAGGCACUACGGUGCUGAAGUAACAAAUGCCCUGCUUCCAGGAAAAGCCUCUAAGCAUCAGGUAACAUCAAAUCGUACCCCAAACCGACACAGGUGGUCAGGUAGAGAAUACCAAGGCGCUUGAGAGAACUCGGGUGAAGGAACUAGGCAAAAUGGUGCCGUAACUUCGGGAGAAGGCACGCUGGUGUGUAGGUGAAGUCCCUGCGGAUGGAGCUGAGACCAGUCGAAGAUACCAGCUGGCUGCAACUGUUUAUUAAAAACACAGCACUGUGCAAACACGAAAGUGGACGUAUACGGUGUGACGCCUGCCCGGUGCCGGAAGGUUAAUUGAUGGGGUUAUCCGUAAGGAGAAGCUCUUGAUCGAAGCCCCGGUAAACGGCGGCCGUAACUAUAACGGUCCUAAGGUAGCGAAAUUCCUUGUCGGGUAAGUUCCGACCUGCACGAAUGGCGUAAUGAUGGCCAGGCUGUCUCCACCCGAGACUCAGUGAAAUUGAACUCGCUGUGAAGAUGCAGUGUACCCGCGGCAAGACGGAAAGACCCCGUGAACCUUUACUAUAGCUUGACACUGAACAUUGAGCCUUGAUGUGUAGGAUAGGUGGGAGGCUUUGAAGCGUGGACGCCAGUCUGCGUGGAGCCAACCUUGAAAUACCACCCUUUAAUGUUUGAUGUUCUAACGUUGGCCCCUGACCGGGGUUGCGGACAGUGUCUGGUGGGUAGUUUGACUGGGGCGGUCUCCUCCCAAAGCGUAACGGAGGAGCACGAAGGUUAGCUAAUCCUGGUCGGACAUCAGGAGGUUAGUGCAAUGGCAUAAGCUAGCUUGACUGCGAGCGUGACGGCGCGAGCAGGUGCGAAAGCAGGUCAUAGUGAUCCGGUGGUUCUGAAUGGAAGGGCCAUCGCUCAACGGAUAAAAGGUACUCCGGGGAUAACAGGCUGAUACCGCCCAAGAGUUCAUAUCGACGGCGGUGUUUGGCACCUCGAUGUCGGCUCAUCACAUCCUGGGGCUGAAGUAGGUCCCAAGGGUAUGGCUGUUCGCCAUUUAAAGUGGUACGCGAGCUGGGUUUAGAACGUCGUGAGACAGUUCGGUCCCUAUCUGCCGUGGGCGCUGGAGAAUUGAGGGGGGCUGCUCCUAGUACGAGAGGACCGGAGUGGACGCAUCACUGGUGUUCGGGUUGUCAUGCCAAUGGCACUGCCCGGUAGCUAAAUGCGGAAGAGAUAAGUGCUGAAAGCAUCUAAGCACGAAACUUGCCCCGAGAUGAGUUCUCCCUGAGACUUUAAGUCUCCUGAAGGAACGUUAAAGACGAUGACGUUGAUAGGCCGGGUGUGUAAGCGCAGCGAUGCGUUGAGCUAACCGGUACUAAUGAACCGUGAGGCUUAACCUU